Molecule: ribosomal RNA, 427 nt
Filed under: uncultured bacterium
Lineage: Bacteria
Description: bacterial SSU rRNA
Rfam family: Bacterial small subunit ribosomal RNA
Source: RNAcentral
UGGGGAAUAUUGCACAAUGGGCGAAAGCCUGAUCCAGCAAUGCCGCGUGUGUGAAGAAGGCCUUCGGGUUGUAAAGCACUUUUGUCCGGAAAGAAAUCCGCCUGGCUAAUACCCGGGCGGGAUGACGGUACCGGAAGAAUAAGCACCGGCUAACUACGUGCCAGCAGCCGCGGUAAUACGUAGGGUGCGAGCGUUAAUCGGAAUUACUGGGCGUAAAGCGUGCGCAGGCGGUUAUGCAAGACAGGUGUGAAAUCCCCGGGCUCAACCUGGGAACUGCGCUUGUGACUGCAUGACUAGAGUGCGUCAGAGGGAGGUGGAAUUCCGCGUGUAGCAGUGAAAUGCGUAGAGAUGCGGAGGAACACCGAUGGCGAAGGCAGCCUCCUGGGAUGACACUGACGCUCAUGCACGAAAGCGUGGGGAGCAAACA